RNAcentral lists this transfer RNA (72 nucleotides) under Ensifer meliloti. RNAcentral's name for it is "Sinorhizobium meliloti tRNA-Val". Lineage: Bacteria; Pseudomonadati; Pseudomonadota; Alphaproteobacteria; Hyphomicrobiales; Rhizobiaceae. The record is from RNAcentral.
GUCGGCGUAGAGCAGUCCGGUAGCUCGCCAGCCUCACAAGCUGGAGGUCGCAUCUAAGCCGCGUGGCUCAUA